UUGGGUUAAGUCCCGCAACGAGCGCAACCCUCGACCUUAGUUGCCAGCAUUCAGUUGGGCACUCUAAGGUGACUGCCGGCUAAAAGUCGGAGGAAGGUGGGGAUGACGUCAAAUCAUCAUGCCCCUUAUGACCUGGGCUACACACGUGCUACAAUGGGCGGUACAAAGGGUCGCGAACCCGCGAGGGGGAGCCAAUCCCAAAAAGCCGCCCUCAGUUCGGAUUGCAGGCUGCAACUCGCCUGCAUGAAGCCGGAAUCGCUAGUAAUCGCGGAUCAGCAUGCCGCGGUCGAAUACGUUCCGGGCCUU
Molecule: ribosomal RNA, 306 nt
Filed under: uncultured Anoxybacillus sp.
Lineage: Bacteria; Bacillati; Bacillota; Bacilli; Caryophanales; Anoxybacillaceae
Description: bacterial SSU rRNA
Rfam family: Bacterial small subunit ribosomal RNA
Source: RNAcentral